CCUACGGGAGGCAGCAGUGAGGAAUAUUGGUCAAUGGGCGAAAGCCUGAACCAGCCAUGCCGCGUGAAGGAUGAAGGCCCUCAGGGUUGUAAACUUCUUUUGUACGGGACGAAACCCUUGAACGUGUUCGAGGCUGACGGUACCGUACGAAUAAGCAACGGCUAACUCCGUGCCAGCAGCCGCGGUAAUACGGAGGUUGCAAGCGUUAUCCGGAUUCAUUGGGUUUAAAGGGUGCGUAGGCGGGACGGUAAGUCAGUGGUGAAAGCCUGCAGCUUAACUGUAGAAUUGCCAUUGAUACUGCUGUUCUUGAGUGCAGCUGAGGUGGGCGGAAUGUGUAGUGUAGCGGUGAAAUGCUUAGAUAUUACACAGAACACCGAUUGCGAAGGCAGCUCACUAAACUGUAACUGACGCUGAGGCACGAAAGCGUGGGGAGCAAACAGGAUUAGAUCCCCUUGUAGU
Molecule: ribosomal RNA, 459 nt
Filed under: uncultured Bacteroidales bacterium
Lineage: Bacteria; Pseudomonadati; Bacteroidota; Bacteroidia; Bacteroidales
Description: partial 16S ribosomal RNA
Rfam family: Bacterial small subunit ribosomal RNA
Source: RNAcentral